Phrynosoma platyrhinos (Desert horned lizard) is the source of this 73-nucleotide non-coding RNA. The record is from the annotation of a GenBank genome assembly. Lineage: Eukaryota; Metazoa; Chordata; Lepidosauria; Squamata; Phrynosomatidae.
GACAGCAUGGUAUAGUGGUUUGAAUGCUAGAUUAGGAAUCUGGGAGACCGUGGUUUGAAUCCUUGCUUGGCCA